GAUGAACGCUGGCGGCGUGCCUAACACAUGCAAGUUGAACGAGAUGCGUAUCGGAAAGCUUCGGCCGGAAGAUGCGUUAUCUAGUGGCGGACGGGUGAGUAACACGUGGGUAACCUGCCUUAUGGAGGGGGAUAACAGAGAGAAAUCACUGCUAAUACCGCAUAAGCACACAGUACCGCAUGGUAGAGUGUGAAAAGAUUUAUCGCCAUAAGAUGGACCCGCGUCUGAUUAGCCAGUUGGCAGGGUAAAAGCCUACCAAAGCGACGAUCAGUAGCCGAUCUGAGAGGAUGACCGGCCACAUUGGGACUGAGACACGGCCCAAACUCCUACGGGAGGCAGCAGUGGGGAAUAUUGCACAAUGGGGGAAACCCUGAUGCAGCGACGCCGCGUGAGUGAAGAAGUAUUUCGGUAUGUAAAGCUCUAUCAGCAGGGAAGAUAAUGACAGUACCUGACUAAGAAGCCCCGGCUAACUACGUGCCAGCAGCCGCGGUAAUACGUAGGGGGCAAGCGUUAUCCGGAUUUACUGGGUGUAAAGGGAGCGUAGACGGAGUGGCAAGUCUGAAGUGAAAACCCUGGGCUCAACCUGGGGACUGCUUUGGAAACUGUUAAUCUAGAGUGUUGGAGAGGUAAGUGGAAUUCCUGGUGUAGCGGUGAAAUGCGUAGAUAUCAGGAAGAACACCGGAGGCGAAGGCGGCUUACUGGACAAUAACUGACGUUGAGGCUCGAAAGCGUGGGGAUCAAACAGG
This 746-nucleotide ribosomal RNA is filed under the name uncultured Oribacterium sp. RNAcentral describes it as "bacterial SSU rRNA". It matches the Rfam family "Bacterial small subunit ribosomal RNA", at positions 28 to 776 of the family's 1533-position model. The record is from RNAcentral. Lineage: Bacteria; Bacillati; Bacillota; Clostridia; Lachnospirales; Lachnospiraceae.